CCUACGGGUGGCAGCAGUGAGGAAUAUUGGUCAAUGGACGAGAGUCUGAACCAGCCAAGUAGCGUGAAGGAUGACUGCCCUAUGGGUUGUAAACUUCUUUUAUCUGGGAAUAAAGUGUGGCACGUGUGCCUUUUUGUAUGUACUCUAUGAAUAAGGAUCGGCUAACUCCGUGCCAGCAGCCGCGGUAAUACGGAGGUGACAAGCGUUAUCCGGAUUUAUUGGGCGUAAAGGGAGCGCAGGCGGUGUUUUAAGUCAGGUGUGAAAGCUUGCGGCUUAACCGUAAAAUUGCAGUUGAAACUGGCAGUCUUGAGUGCAGUAGAGGAGGGUGGAACUCGUGGUGUAGCGGUGAAAUGCGUAGAUAUAUGGAAGAACUCCAAUUGCGAAGGCAGCUCACUGGACUGUAACUGACGCUGAGGUUCGAAAGCGUGGGUAGCAAACAGGAUUAGAUACCCGGGUAGUC
Molecule: ribosomal RNA, 460 nt
Filed under: uncultured bacterium
Lineage: Bacteria
Description: partial 16S ribosomal RNA
Rfam family: Bacterial small subunit ribosomal RNA
Source: RNAcentral